GGAUGAGGAAGGCUGAACCACUCCCGGCUCCUGGCCCCACGGCGCCGGGUUGGAAGAGGCGCAGCAAACCCCAGGGGCGACCCUUGUUGGAUUUGUGGCUGUACUGAAGGCUGCGGCAGUAUUUGGCGGCCGCCCGGCAGCUUUGGCCCCAACGCAGAGCUGCUUUGGAGGUGACGUUGGAGGUGACGUUGUGGCUGAGCUCGAAGGGAUCCGGGAGGGUGAGGGGGGUCCGUUUGAGGAGGGGGUCGGCGGCUGAGAGGGGCAGCGGGCGGCCGUGGCGGAGGGAGGGGAAAUGCGUCGUGAAGGGGAAGGAGCCGAAGAGGUGGAAGAAUUCGGGCAGGAGGGAACCUGCACUGCGCCCAUUGGUGCUGUGCUGCAGCGCCGCCGCAUCGCAGGGAAAGCUGCAGUCCCAGCCCGACUCCACCACACGGCAUCCCGGGCCCGCCAGCUCACGCAGCUCCUCCACUGUGGG
This 472-nucleotide long non-coding RNA is filed under the name Gallus gallus (chicken). The record is from RNAcentral. Lineage: Eukaryota; Metazoa; Chordata; Aves; Galliformes; Phasianidae.